GACGAACGCUGGCGGCGUGCUUAACACAUGCAAGUCGAACGGAAAGGCCCUGCUUUUGUGGGGUGCUCGAGUGGCGAACGGGUGAGUAACACAUGAGUAUCCUGCCCUUGUCUGUGUGAUAACUUUAGGAAACUGGGGCUAAUACCGGAUAGGAGCUCCUGCUGCAUGGGGGUGGUUGGAAAGUUUCGGCGGUGGGGGAUGGUCUCGCGGCUUAUGCGCUUGUUGGUGGGGUAGUGACUUACCAAGCCUUUGACGGGUAGCCGGCCUGGGAGCGUGACCGGCCACAUUGCGACUGCGAUACGGCGCAGAAUCCUACGGGAGGCAGUAGUGGAGAAUAUGACACAGUGGCCGGAAGCCUGAUGCAGCAACGCCGCGUGCGGGAUACCGGCCUACGGGUUGUGAACCGCUGUCGCCUGUGACGAAGCGUGAGUGACGGUAAUGGGUAAGGAAGCACCGGCUAACUACGUG
Molecule: ribosomal RNA, 468 nt
Filed under: uncultured bacterium
Lineage: Bacteria
Description: partial 16S ribosomal RNA
Rfam family: Bacterial small subunit ribosomal RNA
Source: RNAcentral